This 31-nucleotide non-coding RNA is filed under the name Rattus norvegicus (Norway rat). The record is from RNAcentral. Lineage: Eukaryota; Metazoa; Chordata; Mammalia; Rodentia; Muridae.
UGCACACACACAGGAAGAUGUACGGUGCAUA